This 467-nucleotide ribosomal RNA is filed under the name uncultured bacterium. RNAcentral's name for it is "partial 16S ribosomal RNA". It matches the Rfam family "Bacterial small subunit ribosomal RNA", at positions 28 to 507 of the family's 1533-position model. The record is from RNAcentral.
GACGAACGCUGGCGGCGUGCUUAACACAUGCAAGUCGAACGGAAAGGCCUCUUUCGGGGGGUACUCGAGUGGCGAACGGGUGAGUAACACGUGAGUAACCUGCCCUUGACUUUGGGAUAACUUCAGGAAACUGGGGCUAAUACCGGAUAGGAGCUCCUGCUGCAUGGUGGGGGUUGGAAAGUUUCGGCGGUUGGGGAUGGACUCGCGGCUUAUCAGCUUGUUGGUGGGGUAGUGGCUUACCAAGGCUUUGACGGGUAGCCGGCCUGAGAGGGUGACCGGCCACAUUGGGACUGAGAUGCGGCCCAGACUCCUACGGGAGGCAGCAGUGGGGAAUAUUGCACAAUGGGUGGAAGCCUGAUGCAGCAACGCCGUGUGCGGGAUGACGGCCUUCGGGUUGUAAACCGCUUUCGCUCAUGACGAAGCUUUGUGUGACGGUAGUGGGUAAAGAAGCACCGGCUAACUACGUG